Molecule: ribosomal RNA, 484 nt
Filed under: uncultured bacterium
Lineage: Bacteria
Description: partial 16S ribosomal RNA
Rfam family: Bacterial small subunit ribosomal RNA
Source: RNAcentral
AUUGAACGCUGGCGGCAUGCUUUACACAUGCAAGUCGAACGGCAGCGCGGGCUUCGGCCUGGCGGCGAGUGGCGAACGGGUGAGUAAUGCAUCGGAACGUGCCCAGUAGUGGGGGAUAGCCCAGCGAAAGCCGGAUUAAUACCGCAUACGACCUGAGGGUGAAAGCGGGGGACCGAAAGGCCUCGCGCUAUUGGAGCGGCCGAUGUCGGAUUAGCUAGUUGGUGGGGUAAAGGCUUACCAAGGCGACGAUCCGUAGCUAGUCUGAGAGGACGACCAGCCACACUGGGACUGAGACACGGCCCAGACUCCUACGGGAGGCAGCAGUGGGGAAUUUUGGACAAUGGGGGCAACCCUGAUCCAGCCAUGCCGCGUGCGGGAAGAAGGCCUUCGGGUUGUAAACCGCUUUUGUUCGGGAAGAAAUCCUCUGGGCUAAUACCCCGGGGGGAUGACGGUACCGGAAGAAUAAGCACCGGCUAACUACGUG